AUGUCGCCAUGGACCUCCAUCCCCGGUGCGCCGGACCCCUCUUCCCCACCGCGCCACCGCCCCCCUCUGCCUCACCGGGUCGCACCGCGUCCCCCCUCCUCCGCCUCACCGCGCCUUCCCCAAGCGCGACGCCGUCGACACAAUUGCAGGGCCAACUUGCCGCUGACCAUGCAAUCUUCCUCAAGGAGCUCGUGUCCAACGAGACUUACUGAUGGACAUAUGAGGUCGUGUGGCCACACUUUUUUUGAAGGCGUAUCUCCAUGCAAUCACACCUUUUUCCCUGGUCCUUUGAGAGGGGCGGUCGCCGGCGGAGGGCGGAGUGUCGGCAACAACCACCUCUGCCCCAUCCUGCUCCUCCUCAUCGCGUGA
This 369-nucleotide ribosomal RNA is filed under the name Triticum aestivum (bread wheat). RNAcentral describes it as "partial small subunit ribosomal RNA". The record is from RNAcentral. Lineage: Eukaryota; Viridiplantae; Streptophyta; Magnoliopsida; Poales; Poaceae.